Molecule: ribosomal RNA, 992 nt
Filed under: uncultured bacterium
Lineage: Bacteria
Description: bacterial SSU rRNA
Rfam family: Bacterial small subunit ribosomal RNA
Source: RNAcentral
AUGCAAGUCGAGGGGUAGGGUAGCAAUACCUGAGACCGGCGCACGGGUGCGUAACGCGUAUGCAAUCUACCUUUUACAGAGGGAUAGCCCAGAGAAAUUUGGAUUAAUACCUCAUAGUAUAUAUCAUUCGCAUGUUUGAUAUAUUAAAGUUCCAACGGUAAAAGAUGAGCAUGCGUCCUAUUAGCUAGUUGGUGUGGUAACGGCACACCAAGGCAACGAUAGGUAGGGGUCCUGAGAGGGAGAUCCCCCACACUGGUACUGAGACACGGACCAGACUCCUACGGGAGGCAGCAGUGAGGAAUAUUGGACAAUGGGCGCAAGCCUGAUCCAGCCAUGCCGCGUGCAGGAAGACGCAUCUAUGGUGUGUAAACUGCUUUUGUACGGGAAGAAACACUCCUACGUGUAGGAGCUUGACGGUACCGUAAGAAUAAGGAUCGGCUAACUCCGUGCCAGCAGCCGCGGUAAUACGGAGGAUCCAAGCGUUAUCCGGAAUCAUUGGGUUUAAAGGGUCCGUAGGCGGUUUAAUAAGUCAGUGGUGAAAUCUGGUCGCUCAACGAUCAAACGGCCAUUGAUACUGUUAGACUUGAAUUACAAGGAAGUAACUAGAAUAUGUAGUGUAGCGGUGAAAUGCUUAGAUAUUACAUGGAAUACCAAUUGCGAAGGCAGGUUACUACUUGUGGAUUGACGCUGAUGGACGAAAGCGUGGGGAGCGAACAGGAUUAGAUACCCUGGUAGUCCACGCCGUAAACGAUGGAUACUAGCUGUUGGGCGCAAGUUCAGUGGCUAAGCGAAAGUGAUAAGUAUCCCACCUGGGGGAGUACGUUCGCAAGAAAUGAAACUCAAAGGAAUUGACGGGGGCCCGCACAAGCGGUGGGAGCAUGUGGUUUAAUUCGAUGAUACGCGAGGAACCUUACCAAGGCUUAAAUGUAGAUUGACCGUUUUGGACACAGAUCUUUCGCAAGACAAUUUACAAGGUGCUGCAUGGGCUGUCC